Molecule: ribosomal RNA, 1362 nt
Filed under: Indosylvirana temporalis
Lineage: Eukaryota; Metazoa; Chordata; Amphibia; Anura; Ranidae
Description: partial 16S rRNA
Rfam family: Bacterial large subunit ribosomal RNA
Source: RNAcentral
GCCCAAAAUCUAGCCUAUUUAUUCUAAUAACACCACAACCUUUCUGCCCCCUAACAAACCAUUUAAAAAUUCUAGUAUAGGAGAUAAAAAAAAUUGUAAGCGCUUCAGAUAUAGUACCGCAAGGGAACAAUGAAAUAAAAAUGAAAACUUCAAGCUUAACAUAGCAGAGUUUACUCCUCGUACCUUUUGCAUCAUGGUCUAGCUAGUCUAAUUAAGCAAAAAGAAAUUUAAGUUUAACACCCCGAAACUAAGCGAGCUACUUCAAAAUAGCCAUUAUGGGCAAACCCAUCUCUGUCGCAAAAGAGUGGGAAGAUUUUUAAGUAGCGGUGACAAGCCUACCGAGCCUAGAGAUAGCUGGUUGUUCAGGAAAAGAGUCUUAGCUCUACCUUAAGUUUCUAUAUUUUACUUAAAACCCCAAUAAACUUAAGAGCUAUUCAAUUAAGGCACAGCUUAUUUGAAACAGGAUACAACCUAUUAUACUGGGUAAUCUAAAGCUAUUUAAACAAAGUAGGCCUAAAAGCAGCCACCUUAAAAAAGCGUUACAGCUUCAUUUUUCAGCUUAAAAAUAUCUUCAAUUUUUGUUAACCCUUUAUCGCUACUGAACUAUUUUAUAUUAUUAUAAAAGCAAUAAUGCUAGAACUAGUAACAAGAAACUAUUUCUCCUGCGUGCAAGCAUAAACCAAUACGGACAAUCCAUUGGUAUUUAACGUAAAUGUCUUUAUUAUAACAACAUACACUAGAAAAUCUUAUUAUACAAAACGUUAACCUUACACCAGAGCACCCCAGGAAAGAUUAAAAGAGAAAAAAGGAACUCGGCAAAUUUUAGCCUCGCCUGUUUACCAAAAACAUCGCCUCUUGAAAAAUAUAAGAGGUCCAGCCUGCCCAGUGACAAAAUUUAACGGCCGCGGUACCCUAACCGUGCAAAGGUAGCAUAAUCACUUGUUCCUUAAAUAGGGACUAGCAUCAAUGGCACCACGAAGACUGUACUGUCUCUUUUCUCUAAUCAGUGAAACUGAUCUCCCCGUGAAAAAGCGGGAAUAAGUUUAUAAGACGAGAAGACCCCAUGGAGCUUUAAGUAACGUAUUCACCUAGACUUUACUACACCAACUAAACAUUUAUAGCCCUGAUUACUAACCUUAGGUUGGGAGGACCGCGGAGUAUAACCAAACCUCCAUAACAAAAAGGCAACACCUUUAUCCACGAGCUACAACUCUAAGAAUUAAAAUAUUAAUGUCCAAUGACCCGACAAUUCGAUCAAUGAACCAAGUUACCCUGGGGAUAACAGCACAAUCUGCUUAAAGAGCCCAUAUCGACAAGCAGGUUUAUGACCUCGAUGUUGGAUCAGGGUAUCCCAGUGGUGCA